UAAUACGGAGGAUGCGAGCGUUAUCCGGAUUUAUUGGGUUUAAAGGGUGCGUAGGCUGUUAUAUAAGUCAGUGGUGAAAUAUUCGGGCUCAACCGGGAUACUGCCAUUGAUACUGUAUAGCUGGAAUAUGGUUGCUGUGGGUGGAAUGUGUGGUGUAGCGGUGAAAUGCAUAGAUAUCACACAGAAUAUCGAUUGCGAAGGCAACUCACAAAGCCAUUAUUGACGCUGAUGCACGAAAGUGUGGGGAUCAAACAGGAUUAGAUACCCUGGUAGUCCACACUGUAAACGAUGAUAACUAGCUGUCGGCGAUAGAUAGUCGGUGGCUAAGCGAAAGCGAUAAGUUAUCCACCUGAGGAGUACGACCGCAAGGUUGAAACUCAAAGGAAUUGACGGGGGCCCGCACAAGCGGAGGAACAUGUGGUUUAAUUCGAUGAUACGCGAGGAACCUUACCCGGGCUCGAACGGUGCAGGAAUAUGGUAGAGAUAUCAUAGCUAGCAAUAGUCUGUAUCGAGGUGCUGCAUGGUUGUCGUCAGCUCGUGCCGUGAGGUGUCGGCUUAAGUGCCAUAACGAGCGCAACCCUUGUCGUUAGUUACCAUCAAGUAAAGUUGGGGACUCUAGCGAGACUGCCACCGUAAGGUGUGAGGAAGGGGGGGAUGACGUCAAAUCAGCACGGCCCUUACGUCCGGGGCGACACACGUGUUACAAUGGUAGGUACAGAGGGGCGCUAUCCAGUGAUGGAGUGCGAAUCUCAAAAACCUAUCUCAGUUCGGAUUGGAGUCUGCAACUCGACUCCAUGAAGUUGGAUUCGCUAGUAAUCGCGCAUCAGCCAUGGCGCGGUGAAUACGUUCCCGGGNNUUGUACACACCGCCCGUCAAGCCAUGGANGCCGGGGGUGCCUGA
This 900-nucleotide ribosomal RNA is filed under the name uncultured Parabacteroides sp. Its description in RNAcentral is "bacterial SSU rRNA". It matches the Rfam family "Bacterial small subunit ribosomal RNA", at positions 521 to 1424 of the family's 1533-position model. Lineage: Bacteria; Pseudomonadati; Bacteroidota; Bacteroidia; Bacteroidales; Tannerellaceae. The record is from RNAcentral.